This 372-nucleotide ribosomal RNA is filed under the name uncultured organism. RNAcentral describes it as "bacterial SSU rRNA". It matches the Rfam family "Bacterial small subunit ribosomal RNA", at positions 526 to 896 of the family's 1533-position model. The record is from RNAcentral.
CGAGUGCUCCAAGCGUUAUCCGGAAUUAUUGGGCGUAAAGGGUGUGUAGGCGGUUGUGUUAGUCUUCUGUUAAAUUCUUCGGCUUAACCGGGGGCAUGCAGAGGAAACGGCACAACUUGAGGAUGCGAGAGGUGAAUGGAACUCAUGGAGUAGGGGUGAAAUCCGUUGAUAUCAUGGGGAACACCAAAUGCGAAGGCAAUUCACUGGCGCACUCCUGACGCUGAAACACGAAAGCGUAGGUAGCGGAUGGGAUUAGAUACCCCAGUAGUCUACGCCCUAAACGAUGACAACUAGUUUUUCGGAGUAUCGACCCUCUGAGAGACGAAGCUAACGCGUUAAGUUGUCCGCCUGGGUAGUACGGCCGCAAGGCUA